UUGAGGACGAGAAUUGUG
Molecule: small nuclear RNA, 18 nt
Filed under: Arabidopsis thaliana (thale cress)
Lineage: Eukaryota; Viridiplantae; Streptophyta; Magnoliopsida; Brassicales; Brassicaceae
Description: snRNA_01371
Source: RNAcentral